RNAcentral lists this ribosomal RNA (664 nucleotides) under uncultured fungus. Its description in RNAcentral is "eukaryotic LSU rRNA". It matches the Rfam family "Eukaryotic large subunit ribosomal RNA", at positions 24 to 664 of the family's 3401-position model. Lineage: Eukaryota; Fungi. The record is from RNAcentral.
CCCGCUGAACUUAAGCAUAUCAAUAAGCGGAGGAAAAGAAACCAACAGGGAUUGCCUCAGUAACGGCGAGUGAAGUGGCAACAGCUCAAAUUUGAAAUCUGGUCCCUUUCGGGGCUCGAGUUGUAAUUUGUAGAGGAUGCCUUCGGGUUUGGCCCUGGCCUAAGUUCCUUGGAACAGGACGUCACAGAGGGUGAGAAUCCCGUAUGUGGCUGGUGGUCUAUGCCCAUGUGAAGCUCCCUCGACGAGUCGAGUUGUUUGGGAAUGCAGCUCAAAAUGGGUGGUAAGUUUCAUCUAAAGCUAAAUACUGGCGGGAGACCGAUAGCGCACAAGUAGAGUGAUCGAAAGAUGAAAAGCACUUUGGAAAGAGAGUUAAAAAGUACGUGAAAUUGUUGAAAGGGAAGCGCUUGAAGUCAGUCGCGUCGUCCGAGACUCAGCCUCGCCUCGGCUUGGUGUACUUCUCGGCCCGACGGGUCAGCAUCAAUUUCGCCUCUCGGAUAAUGGCGAGGGAAAAGUGACACCUUUACGGUGUGUUAUAGUCCCUCGUCGCAUGCGAGGGUCGGGAUUGAGGAACUCAGCACGCGCCCUCGGGCGUCGGGGUUUUCGCCCACGAUACGUGCUUAGGAUGUUGGCGUAAUGGCUUUAAACGACCCGUCUUGAAACACGG